AGAGUUUGAUUCUGGCUCAGGANNNACGCUGGCGGCGUGCCUAACACAUGCAAGUCGAGCGAGAACCGGUCCUUCGGGACUGGGGAAAGCGGCGAACGGGUGAGUAACACGUGGGUAAUCAACCCCUGGCACCGGGAUAGCCCGAGGAAACUCGGAUUAAUACCGGAUGGCCCAGCAGCUCUUCGGGGCGGCUGGGAAAGGUAGCUUCGGCCUCUGGCCAGGGACGAGCCCGCGGCGGAUUAGCUUGUUGGUGGGGUAAUGGCCUACCAAGGCGACGAUCCGUAGCUGGUCUGAGAGGACGAUCAGCCACACUGGGACUGAGACACGGCCCAGACUCCUACGGGAGGCAGCAGUGGGGAAUCUUGCACAAUGGGCGGAAGCCUGAUGCAGCGACGCCGCGUGAGGGAAGAAGGCUUUCGGGUUGUAAACCUCUUUCAGGAGGGACGAAGCUCCUCGGGUUAAUAGCCCAGAGGGUGACGGUACCUCCAGAAGAAGCCCCGGCUAACUACGUGCCAGCAGCCGCGGUAAUACGUAGGGGGCAAGCGUUGUCCGGAUUUAUUGGGCGUAAAGAGCGUGUAGGCGGCCAGAUAGGUCUGUUGUGAAAACUCGAGGCUCAACCUCGAGACGCCGAUGGAAACCAUUUGGCUAGAGUCCGGAAGAGGAGAGUGGAAUUCCUGGUGUAGCGGUGAAAUGCGCAGAUAUCAGGAAGAACACCCGUGGCUAAGGCGGCUCUCUAGUACGGUACUGACGCUGAGACGCGAAAGCGUGGGGAGCGAACAGGA
This 782-nucleotide ribosomal RNA is filed under the name uncultured bacterium. Its description in RNAcentral is "bacterial SSU rRNA". It matches the Rfam family "Bacterial small subunit ribosomal RNA", at positions 8 to 777 of the family's 1533-position model. The record is from RNAcentral.